GUCGGCUACGGUGAUAUUUACCCUACCACUCCUCUAGGGAAACUAGUUGGUAGCAUCUGCUGCGUCUGCGGUGUACUGGUCAUUGCUCUGCCCAUUCCAAUCAUUGUCAACAAU
Molecule: non-coding RNA, 114 nt
Organism: Stegodyphus mimosarum
Lineage: Eukaryota; Metazoa; Arthropoda; Arachnida; Araneae; Eresidae
Source: Rfam